Molecule: ribosomal RNA, 549 nt
Filed under: uncultured bacterium
Lineage: Bacteria
Description: bacterial SSU rRNA
Rfam family: Bacterial small subunit ribosomal RNA
Source: RNAcentral
UAGGGAAUCUUCCACAAUGGGUGCAAACCUGAUGGAGCAAUGCCGCGUGAGUGAAGAAGGUCUUCGGAUCGUAAAGCUCUGUUGUUAGAGAAGAACACGUGCUAGGUAACUACUAGCGCCUUGACGGUAUCUAACCAGAAAGUCACGGCUAACUACGUGCCAGCAGCCGCGGUAAUACGUAGGUGACAAGCGUUGUCCGGAUUUAUUGGGCGUAAAGGGAGCGCAGGCGGUCUGUUUAGUCUAAUGUGAAAGCCCACGGCUUAACCGUGGAACGGCAUUGGAAACUGACAGACUUGAAUGUAGAAGAGGAAAAUGGAAUUCCAAGUGUAGCGGUGGAAUGCGUAGAUAUUUGGAGGAACACCAGUGGCGAAGGCGAUUUUCUGGUCUAACAUUGACGCUGAGGCUCGAAAGCGUGGGGGGCGAACAGGAUUAGAUACCCUGGUAGUCCACGCCGUAAACGAUGAGUGCUAAGUGUUGGGGGCUUUCCGGCCCUCGGUGCUGGAGCUAACGUAUUAAGCACUCCGCCUGGGGAUUACGACCGCAAGGUUG